RNAcentral lists this unclassified non-coding RNA (199 nucleotides) under plant metagenome. RNAcentral describes it as "partial contains small subunit ribosomal RNA and internal transcribed spacer 1". The record is from RNAcentral.
AAGUUGUAAUAAAGUUUCCGUAGGUAAACCUGCAGAAAGAUUAUUAUCUAGCCUAGGCCGCUGCUUAUUAGUGUGCUGCUUAUGCCUAUUACCUUAACUAUGCGCACCUUUAUUAUUCUCUUAGCAGUUUGCUACUGCUAGGAACUCUCUAAACCCUUAUGUAAUAUAGUACACUUCUAAAAACAAACCUAAUUAUUUA